This 256-nucleotide ribosomal RNA is filed under the name uncultured bacterium. RNAcentral describes it as "partial 16S ribosomal RNA". It matches the Rfam family "Bacterial small subunit ribosomal RNA", at positions 524 to 776 of the family's 1533-position model. The record is from RNAcentral.
UACAGAGGUCUCAAGCGUUGUUCGGCUUUAUUGGGCGUCAAGGGUGCGUAGGUGGCUUGCAACGUUAUCAGUGGCAAAUCGAGGCUUAACCUCGCGGAAACUGGUAAUACUGUUUGGCUCGAGUGCAGGAGAGGUUAACGGAACUCUAUGUGGAGCGGUAAAAUGCACAGAUAUAUAGAAGAACACCAAUAACGGCGAAGGCAGUUAACUAUUCUGUUACUGACACUGAGGCACGAAAGCGUGGGGAGCAAAACGG